GGGAUCUCAGGUGUGCGAAGUCCCCGGACUGGGGACCCCUCCGGGGUCACCAGCUUCACAGAGCCUGGAAGGAGAUAGACGGUUUUAAGAACUGUGAGCAAGGCUUAGAGGGUUACUAAGGGACCAAUCCAUAAAUUCAGUGUGAAAGCUAUGUAGGACAGGGGCAAGGCCCAGAGGGGCUCAGGGGGUUCUGAGAAGCACAAGUUCGGAGGCAGAGAUCUAGGGACUGCAGCUGGAGGGGUGGGGAGGAAGGGGAGGAAGGAGGGUUCUCACCAUCCAUCAACACCAUCACCAUAUCUUCCUCUACCUGGGUCACCUGCACGGGUCCCCUGUGCUCUGUUUGGGGGGAGUGGGUUAAGGAUUGACCCCACCCCAUUCCCCUUUCCCCACACCACCCCCAGAAGGCCAGUACCUGUGCUUUAGCCACCGCCUCAGUUCACAAGCAAGUGGGCUAAACCCCGCCCACCAUCCCGGUCCCACCCCAUCAUCAAUCUCCCCAGUUAACUAAAACCUGCCAUUCUCCCUUCUCCGCCCUUCCAGCCCUUUCUCAGUCCCGUAGUGCCUCAGGCUAAGCGAAGCCCCGCCUCCAGCUCCGCCCCUCCGGAUCUGAUAAGCCCCGCCCUCAGCAAGACUCCGCCCCACUCACCGGUGCUCAUCUCGCCCAGCCAGCAAGAGAGCGCGCCAAAGCGCACCGUGUGGAAGAGCACCGACUUCCCCGGCCGCCCGGGGCUCACGCCGAUGCACACAGCGGGCAGCUCAGAGCCUGGCCCGGUCAGCAGCGCGAACACGGACAGAGGCGUCGGCAGUGGGAACAGCACCUGCUGCGGGCCGCACAGGGAGGGGCGGGCUAGGGGGUGGUUCAGGACGGGGCCUCAGGGGGCGUGGCUUGUAGCUGGCCUGGGACUUCCGAACCAGGGCCCUAAGUCUUGGGGGAUGCCGUCUAGAAAUGUCAGGGGAUAAGGCCUGGUGCCUCCGCGGGAACGGGGGUCGUGACCUCCGAGUGGGUGUGGCUUCCAUGUGGGGGCAUGCCACCUUGGCGGCAGACGGGCAGGGCCCCAAAGAUAGCAAAACCUGCUUAGACACUCAAAGAGACAGGCUCUAAAUGGGCUCUACUAGGACACCCAGGGAGUGGCAGCAUUGAGCCUGAGGAAUAAUUAGGCCCAGGUGUGAGGGGCGGCGCUUAAGGAUCAGGAUGGCUUCAGAAGGACGAGGCUCCAAGCGCAGACCGCAGGUGGGCGGGGCCUCGGGAGAUUGGGGCGGGGCCUCGACGGAGGUGGGGCUUCAUGGAGCUCUUGAUAGAAGCGCAAAGGGUGCAAGGCCUUAGCCACCCACUCCUCAGAGUUCCCAGCACCCUCCCAAGCCCCUUACCCGGACAAGCAGGAAUUUGUUCAUGGGCUGGUACCACUGAAGCAGGACAACGGACGUCUCCAAUGCACCGCACAGGAACGGGCCCCCAGAGCUCGCACCCUCCGCUGUGGCAUGGGCAAGGAUGAGUCAAGAUCAAUGCCCUCUAUCCUCCUCGCCACCCACACUACCACCCAUCUUCUGGGUUCUGGACACAUUGCCUUAACUCUGUAACCUUCUCAGGUGGAUGCAGUUCAAGCCCCUCCUCUGGCCUGGCCCCGCCCACUCUCUGCACACCCGUGAAGCUCUCUCUCACCCACACAGCACGCCCGGCAGCCUUUGGUGUCCUGGAUCUUGGUGGAAACCAUGUUCUUCCUGGAGAAUAGGAUCUCCUUGACCCUCCAGAAUGCCCACCCUUGGUGGAGGGAUGUGUCCAGGCGGCCGUGCUGUGGAUCCGGAGGGGGCAGCCAUUGAACAACUUUACGAGAAGGGCACAUCCCUGGGCAGGUCGCCGCGGGGCCAGGCAGCAGAUCCGGCAAAGAGAGCAGGGAACAGGAAGGGGCAGUGGUUACGACUUUGGAGCGAGAGUGCCAAGGUUCAAAUCCUGCCUCUUACCUUGGUGCAAUUUCCCAUAAUCUAUCCCUGUAAUACACUUUUUCAUACAUUGAGUUUUCUUUUCAGUUUGUUUUUGUUUUUUUUUGUUGUUGUUAUAUAUUUCUUUUUUUAGUUUUUCCUCCACUAUCCUAAAUCAUCAGCAUUUGUUUUUUUUAAGACAGAGUCUCACUCGGUUGCCCAGGCUGGAAUGCAAUGACAUGAUCUCAGCUCACUACAACCUCUGCUUCCCAAGUUCAACUGAUUCUCAUGCCUAAGCCUUCUGAGUAGCUGGGACCAAAGGCGUGUGCCACCACACCCAGCUAAUUUUUGUAUUUUUAGUAGAGAUGGAGUUUUGCCAUGUUGCCCAGGCUGGUCUUGAACUCUUGGCCUCAUGUGAUUCAC
RNAcentral lists this long non-coding RNA (2340 nucleotides) under Homo sapiens (human). RNAcentral describes it as "HSALNT0259596". Lineage: Eukaryota; Metazoa; Chordata; Mammalia; Primates; Hominidae. The record is from RNAcentral.